Molecule: ribosomal RNA, 2249 nt
Filed under: human gut metagenome
Description: bacterial LSU rRNA
Rfam family: Bacterial large subunit ribosomal RNA
Source: RNAcentral
AGUGAAAGAGAACCUGAAACCCUAUGUUUACAAGCAGAUAAAGCGAAUUAAGGCGCGAUAUCGUACUUUUUGUAGAACGGUCCAGCGAGUUAUUGUAUAUGGCGAGGUUAAGUUGUAAGUAAGCAACGAAGCCGGAGUGAAAGCGAGUCUGAAGAGGGCGUAAAAGUCAUAUGUAAUAGACCCGAAACCGGGUGACCUAUCCAUGGUCAGGAUGAAGCUAAAGUAAAAUUUAGUGGAGGUCCGAACUGAUUGUCGUUAAAAAGGCACCGGAUGAACUGUGGAUAGCGGAGAAAUUCCAAUCGAACUCGGAGAUAGCUGGUUCUCCUCGAAAUAGCUUUAGGGCUAGCCUUGAGGGAAGAUAUGUGGGGGUAGAGCACUGAAUGAGGUAGGGGCCUAACCAGGUUACUGAACUCUAUCAAACUGCGAAUACCAUGUAUUAAUACUCAGGAGUCAGACUACGGGAGCUAAGUUCCGUGGUCAAAAGGGAAAGAGCCCAGACCGACAAUUAAGGUCCCAAAGAUAUAGUUAAGUGGGAAACGAUGUGAAUUUGCGUAAACAACCAGGAUGUUGGCUCAGAAGCAGCCAUUCAUUCAAAGAGUGCGUAACAGCUCACUGGUCGAGUGAAUUUGCGCGGAAAAUUACCGGGGCUAAACUAUACACCGAAAUUACGGAUUUGUAAAUGAAAAUUUAUAAGUGGUAGAGGAGCAUUCUGUGGUAGGGCGAAGCUAAAGCGAGAGCAUUAGUGGACGAAGCAGAAGAGAGAAUGCUGGAAUAAGUAGCGAGAGCGAGGUGAGAAUCCUUGCCGUCGAAAGUCUAAGGUUUCCUGGGGAAGGUUCGUCCGCCCAGGGUAAGUCGGGACCUAAGGAGAGGCCGAAAGGCGUAUCUGAUGGAUAGCAGGUGGAAAUUCCUGCACUAUAGCCAUACUUAAAAGAUGCAAGGGACGCAGGAGAGGAAGAUAACCGAGGAAGAGGAAAAACUCGGAUCGAAAGAUGGAGUGAAAAUAGAAGUAACGAAGUAUCAAGAAUCACACUGACGAGAAAAGCUUGUAGAGAUUGUAUGGAAAUACCCGUACCGCAAACCGACACAGGUAGAUGAGGAGAGGAUCCUAAGACGAACGGGAGAAGCAUUGUUAAGGAACUCGGCAAAAUAACCCCGUAACUUCGGGAGAAGGGGAGCCUAUGUAAAAGUAGGCCGCAGUGAAAAGGCCCAAGCAACUGUUUAACAAAAACACAGGUUUCUGCUAAAUCGAAAGAUGAAGUAUAGGAGCUGACGCCUGCCCAGUGCUGGAAGGUUAAGGGGAAAUGUUAGGAGCAAUCCGAAGCAUAGAACUGAAGCCCCAGUGAACGGCGGCCGUAACUAUAACGGUCCUAAGGUAGCGAAAUUCCUUGUCAGGUAAGUUCUGACCCGCACGAAAGGCGUAAUGAUUUGGGCACUGUCUCGACAAUGUACCCGGCGAAAUUGUAGUACUAGUGAAGAUGCUAGUUACCUGCGACAAGACAGAAAGACCCCAUGGAGCUUUACUGCAGUUUGAUACUGGGUUUUGAUAAACUAUGUACAGGAUAGGUGGGAGACUAAGAAAGCAAGGCGUCAGCUUUGCUGGAGUCACCGUUGGGAUACCACUCUUAGUUUGUUGAAAUUCUAACUAGUGGUCAUGACCUGGCCAGAGGACAAUGUCAGACGGGCAGUUUGACUGGGGCGGUCGCCUCCAAAAGAGUAACGGAGGCGCCCAAAGGUUUCCUCAGCGCGGACAGAAAUCGCGCGAAAGAGUGUAAAGGCAGAAGGAAGCUUAACUGGAAGACAGACAUGUCGAGCAGAUACGAAAGUAGGGCUUAGUGAUCCGGUGGAAUUGAAUGGAAAAGCCAUCGCUCAACGGACAAAAGUUACCCUGGGGAUAACAGGCUUAUCUCCCCCAAGAGUUCACAUCGACGGGGAGGUUUGGCACCUCGAUGUCGGCUCAUCGCAUCCUGGAGCGGAAGUACGUUCCAAGGGUUGGGCUGUUCGCCCAUUAAAGCGGUACGCGAGCUGGGUUCAGAACGUCGUGAGACAGUUCGGUCCUUAUCUGUCGCAGGCGCAAGAUAUUUGAAGGGAGCUGUCCUUAGUACGAGAGGACCAGGAUGGACAUAUAGAGGGUGAAUCAGUUGUUACACCAGUAGCAUAGCUGAGAAGCCAAGUAUGGAAGGGAUAAACGCUGAAAGCAUCUAAGUGUGAAGCCCCCCUCAAGAUAAGAUAUCUCAUACCGUCAAGGUAGU